This 296-nucleotide ribosomal RNA is filed under the name Pseudacris crucifer (spring peeper). RNAcentral describes it as "partial 16S ribosomal RNA". Lineage: Eukaryota; Metazoa; Chordata; Amphibia; Anura; Hylidae. The record is from RNAcentral.
UACCCUGAUCCAACAUCGAGGUCGUAAACCCGCCUGUCGAUAGGGGCUCUUGAGGCGGAUUGCGCUGUUAUCCCCUAGGGUAACUUGGUUCAUUGAUCAAAAUAUUGGGUCAAUUGAUGUCAAUUUAUUGGUGCAUAGAGUUGUUGCUCUUUGCUCAGGAUUUAUAGUCCUAUUCAAUAUGGAGGUUUUAUUUUGCUCCGUGGUCACCCCAACCUAAAACUAAAAAUCAUGAAGCUAAAAUAGAUGUUAGUAUUCUGAAAUAAAAAUUAUUGAAGCAGGUGUUAUUUAGUUUAAAG